Molecule: long non-coding RNA, 1151 nt
Filed under: Salmo trutta (river trout)
Lineage: Eukaryota; Metazoa; Chordata; Actinopteri; Salmoniformes; Salmonidae
Description: lncRNA (ENSSTUG00000005474.1)
Source: RNAcentral
ACCGGCCGGUCACAUGAGCACUUUCACUUUCCAAACGUCAUUUGAGGUGGGUUUCAGUGCAGGCGGGAGAUCUAUUUUAUCUUCGAAAAUAACAAUAGCAACAUGUUGUAGGCCUACAACUGAAAACUUUUUGAUUACGUCCAUCGUCCAAACUGGAAUGUAGGCUAUUUUCGUCUCGAUUGCUUUUGCGCGUCUAUCGUCUGAAUGAAUCAUUCCACCCUGGGCCUGUAUUGAAAUGUAAAUAGCCUACAAUCAUACUUUAAUUUAUGAAUCUAUACGUGCAACCCAAUUUUAGCCUGUUCAUUAAUUAUUAAACUGUUAAUAUAUUCAGUGACUUGGUAAAUAUUGGAUUUUUUUCAACAAAGAAAACUGAAUUGAAGAGGUGAACUACAGUUGCGAUCGGCGCCAAUGGACCCGUUGGCUUUUCUGACAGAUAAGCAGUUACUGCAGUUUUUACGCUGUAAUAGGACAGAGAUGUCGUGCAUGGUGCAACCACACACCUUUCUGAACCAGCUCCGUGACCACCACCUCAUUCCGGAGAACAUGUACAAGAAGUUGAUUUUGAUUAGGAGUAAGGAGCUGAGGGAGAAGGGUGUGUACCAGGUGUUGGACUGGGUGGAGGCAGAGAGGCCCGACAGCAUCAAGGUGUUCUGGAACUGUGUGUUCAGGGACCACCUCCUGCAGCAGUACCCAACGUUACGCCUGCUACGAAACCGCCUGCUGGAUGGGUCAUUCACAUUCUAUGAGAAACUGCCAGAGAAGGUGGAGAAGGAAGAGGAGGAGGAUAAGAAGAAGAAGGCUUCAGCGGAAGGAGAAGAGGAGGAGGAGAAGACAGGAAGGAAAAAGAGGAACCAGAAAAAGAGAAGUGCGAGUGCGGAGGAGGAGCAGCCCAGCACAUCCACCCAGUCCACCCCUAGUCAGAAGAGGAAAGUCCAGAGGCUCAAAUACUGUUCUCCUUUCAGGAAGGGGGAGAAAGCUGACAUCUGGACCUGGCCCAUCUACAAGAGCCAGCUCCCAGUCACCUGUGGGGACAAAGAAGGCAUGCUCAACAGGGACAAGCUGGCCAAAGGUAGGUCAUAACAAGGACUUUAUAUGAUGUGUUUGUGUGUAAUGAUGGAUGUGGUUUGGCUGAAUAACCUUGCCUGAGACCU